GGAGGGGGUAUCCUUUUGGAGCCCUAACCGGUUCCGGUUCCCGGAAAAAUGGAACCGGGAACCGGAACGGGUCCUUUAAGAACCGGGAACCGAACCGGAACCUCCGAUUCGGUUCUCCGGUUCCCAGUUCUACCCGGGAAUUGCGCUCACCCCUAUGAAUCUUGUCCCCUGACUUGUAAGCAAAAUUAGGCAGGAAAGUUUCUCUCUGUAAUAGUCUUGGCUGCUGAAUUCCUUGACUUAAAAGAAUUAUCUCUCAAACUCAGCUGGGUGGAAAUAAGUGGUCAACAAUUUGAAACUGAAAGAUCCAUUGCCACCAAUAGAUUUGGGCUGUCAAUCAGUGCAUCGGCCAUGCUAUUUCAUGUGUUGAUUUACUACAAUACUUUUAUCUAUUCUGAUGUCUGCUUUGUCUGUUCCUUCAUCUUUCUUGAACAAAAUCAUAUCAUUUCUCUAUCCUUAAGACCCAGAGGUUCUUUGCAUUACUUGGAAAUCUUCAUUCAGUUCAGUUGUCCUUCUUAAAGAAAUGUUAGCUUGUUUUUUGAAUAGGUAUCAUAUACCAGAUAAUUGGCCCUACAGCGAAGCUUAACUGCUUUUCUACGGAAAAACAGCCUGAGAUAAAAUUGACUGCUCCAAACGGGGAGGUUGGCCAUUUUCAUGUUGGGAUUUACUUGCAACAUUUCACUUUUUGAAUUUUUCACUUGUUUCCUAACUAAUUGUUAUUUCCCUUUCAAGUGCUUAAUUUCCUUUCUCGUGAAUGAGAAUGGGUUCAAUAUUGACAGAGUGACGAAGGUAUGGCUUUUAUCUUCAGUAAUGUGUUGGUCAGUUGCCUACUGGAGGAAGUUGCUUCUUGUCCUCUGGAGGAGAGAGCAUACGUGUUUUCAAUGUUGUUUUACCAUGUGUGUCAGGCGAUAGAGAAGAUUAAGGCAGCUAAGGAUUAGUCAUCACAAGGCCGGUAACUAAAGCUUGAACAAAUGAAAGUGACUUCCAAAAUGCACUUUCUAUUAUCCAAUGAUUCCUUUCAUUUAUUCUCUACAGAUUAGAGUCCUUCUCUAAGCCAGCUUAGAAUCAAUCUGUUCCCUUCUAAGAGGAAGGGAGGCAAAUGCACACUUCAAUGCCCCAGUCUGGCAUUCAAGCCCAAGAUAUUCUCUACACAGGUAUCUGUAAAUCCCCAGCCCAGGGUCCUUGGCAGCUUUAAAGUGCCAACCAUGGUGCUGGGUUUGAGGAACUUCAAACAGCCGUUGAGAAUUGUUUGCGUCCCGAUGUGGAUCUAAAUAAUGGCGAAUGUAAGAACCCUAUUCACUGAGCAAGUCCUGACUUGUAGUUGCUGUUUUUGCCCGUAGUUGGAAGCAAGUUGAUGCUUUCCUUUCCAAAAAAAAGGGGGUCAUGUCUUAUGGUACUGCAAUAUUGGAAGAGAGUUGUAUAAAUUUUUAUUGGAAGGAUGAAGUUUGCCCUCUAUGCUAGAACAAGGGGUACUGCUUGUCGGGCAGAGUGCAUAUUAGUGUUCCUUUUACAGUGCGUAUUUGCUGUCCUAAGGAUUCCAUUUCUUCCAUGUAUUGUACAUUUUACGAUACUUAUAUAUCACUCAUACAAAUUUUAUAUUA
This is a long non-coding RNA of Eucalyptus grandis, 1598 nucleotides long. RefSeq lists it as uncharacterized. The transcript has 2 exons. The record is from RefSeq and is a predicted model, not a curated record. Lineage: Eukaryota; Viridiplantae; Streptophyta; Magnoliopsida; Myrtales; Myrtaceae.